UCACGAUUUUUAUUCAAAAAAAAAACUAAUAAAUCCUGACCGUAGAUAUCAAAAUGAAAAUGAAAACACAAAUUAAGAUGGAAAAAGAAAUUCAAGUUAUAAUAGACGACGACAUUGAAUUCUCCAAAGAUUGUUGUCUCUCCAACCUCAUUUUCUUAUAAAACCUCUGAAUGAACUCCUCAGCUCUUUUGUCGACACACUCUUCAUCCUCCUCCUCUUCCGACAAAAUUUCGUCGACCAAGCUCUUCUCCAAUAAAAAUUCACUUCCAAAGUACUCAAUCUGAGCGUCAUCGUCUUUGCCUCCACAACCCAAGCACAGUAAAACGAUGAGCUUCUUCUUCCCUAUGAUCUCCUUGUUAAAUUUAGACAACAUAUGAUCAUACCGACUAUUAUAUCCAGUCAAGAUUUUUCUCUUUCUAAUGACUGGCUUUCUAAUUACCUUUGCCAUAGGAAACUCCAUGAGAUACUCCCAUGCUCGUGACACCAUGUGUCCCUUCGUCUUCGUCUUCCCCUCCAUCUCGAUCGAUCUCUAUGAACAAGCUAGAAUUCACCUCUCAUCCGGCCAUGUAUGUGUGCGUGUAUGUUCUAUAUAUAUAUGGUGAAUGGUGAUUGAAAAAGGCCGGGGUAG
This 628-nucleotide long non-coding RNA is filed under the name Zostera marina. Its description in RNAcentral is "long non-coding RNA (ZMAR_LNC000251)". Lineage: Eukaryota; Viridiplantae; Streptophyta; Magnoliopsida; Alismatales; Zosteraceae. The record is from RNAcentral.